GCAGCGGCUGCAUCGUUCAGCUUGAAAUGUCAUAUAGCUGUCAGCCUUGGAAGGGCUGUGGUCUCCACAGUCUAUUGUCACUGGAAACGGACUAGUUGUCCUUCAGGCCUAGUUCUUCCAUCUCUGGGGUGUCUCUCCAGAACUACCUGUCACCCUGCCUACCUGUGGGAUUCUGCUGGCAAGAAAUUGGAGGUGGCAUCCAAAGCCACAGACAGGAACUGGCUGGCUGUUUUGCUAUGUGGUGGAGCCUCGAUAGUCUUAGGGCUAGAUUAGAGCCAAAUAUGACUAAUCAGCUGCCACAGUGUGGAUGACUGGCUUCCUGUUCUCAAAAUUCAAGUUUUGGGUUCUCUGCAAAGCCCUGGGCUAAGUUUUGCUUAAAAGGCCUGGGUCAGAUUUGACCAUAGGCUUGUCUGUGUGGGUUCCCUGAAGUAUGAAGUGACCUGAGGUAUGUGCCACGUGGAGCUAAUGUCAGUAAGGUCCCUGGCAGCUGACCCAUGAUGAGCUUUAGACUAAGGAUGUACUGAGACAGCCCUGGGUCUUGAAUGCAUUUACCCCCAAACUCUAGUAGCUCCGGGACAACUGGAUGGACUAGUCCUCAUCAACUGAGGCAUUUGCUGAUACUACCCCCCCACACACACACCAUUUGCUUUUGGUUUUCCUCUUGCUGUUAUUCUCUUUCCUAUACUUUUUCACUGUCUUUCCUAGGAACAGACCUCAGGAGAUGGACCAGGACUUGGGAUGUCUGCCGACCCUGCAGUCCUUAGCCAGCUAGCAUCUGCUGAGCUUCGCUUUUAGAUGCCAUUUUCUCAAACAGAUGCUGGAAGGCACUGGCUUCUGGAAAUCCCCCUGAACAUCCCACCCCUGCUUUUUAUUAUUAUUAUUAAUAUUAUUCUGCAUGACUAGCUCAUAAGAUGGAAUCUAAGGGGACAAUUAUCAAGACUUUUCCACUUUUUAAAAAAUGUAUGUGACUUAUCUUUGGCUUUCAUUUAAGAGCAGUCUUGGUGGCAGGCAUCUCCCUCUGUGUAUACUCCUGUGGAAUCUGCAGAAACCGAUAUGGCAUACCCCCUCCUGUCUAGGCUGUUUGUAUAAUUGUAUAUAAAUGUAGCAAUAAAUAUAUUCUAACAUCAUCUGGUGCCUGGAUUCCCACUUCGUUUUGCACCUCGGUGGCAGACAGUGAGGGUCACCCUUUUACCGACACUGCCCUGCUGGCCACUGGGACUUACCUGACCCAUCUGAGUUUCUCAUCUUUCACCAAGUGAGCGUUACUAAGAAGCAAGCCAGCAUUUGGAGAAAGGAUGAGGAGGUUUGGUAGCAGAGCUAGGACACGACACGGCAUUAGUAAUUCAUGCGAUGGCACCGGUCCUGGCUGG
RNAcentral lists this long non-coding RNA (1370 nucleotides) under Cricetulus griseus (Chinese hamster). RNAcentral describes it as "lncRNA (ENSCGRG00015037601.1)". Lineage: Eukaryota; Metazoa; Chordata; Mammalia; Rodentia; Cricetidae. The record is from RNAcentral.